CAUAAGCUUGGUCCCAGCUUUGAUGUCAGCUUUGAUAAAAUUUAUACAUGCAAGUUUCCGCCCCCCCGUGAGAAUGCCCUCUCGAACCCACCCCGGAAAAGAGGAGCCGGCAUCAGGCACAACACUGCUUAGCCCACGACGCCUUGCUUAGCCACACCCCCACGGGUACUCAGCAGUAAUAAACAUUAAGCCAUGAGUGAAAACUCGACUUAGUCAGCAUCAAGAGGGCCGGUAAAACUCGUGCCAGCCACCGCGGUUAUACGAGAGGCCCAAGUUGACAGAAUUCGGCGUAAAGAGUGGUUAAUGAAUAUUAUACUAAAGCCGAACACCCUCAAGACUGUUAUACGUGUUCGAGGGCAGGAAGCCCUUCAACGAAAGUGGCUUUAAUAAGCAUGAACCCACGAAAGCUAGGGCACAAACUGGGAUUAGAUACCCCACUAUGCCUAGCCUUAAACAAAAUUGCCCCCAUACAACAACCAUUCGCCAGGGAACAACGAGCCCCAGCUUAAAACCCAAAGGACUUGGCGGUGCUUUAGACCCCCCUAGAGGAGCCUGUUCUAGAACCGAUACUCCCCGUUCAACCUCACCCCCUCUUGUUUUUCCCGCCUAUAUACCGCCGUCGUCAGCUUACCCUGUGAAGGGCUAAUAGUAAGCAAAAUUGGCAAAGCCCAAAACGUCAGGUCGAGGUGUAGCGAACGAGGGGGGAAGAAAUGGGCUACAUUUACUGGCUCAGUAAAUACGAAUGCUACACUGAAAUAAGUAGCUGAAGGAGGAUUUAGCAGUAAGAGGGGAAUAGAGUGCCCCUCUGAAAACGGCCCUGAAGCGCGCACACACCGCCCGUCACUCUCCCCAACGGUAACUAAAGAAUAAAUAAUAAUAUACUACUGCCACAAGGGGAGGCAAGUCGUAACAUGGUAAGUGUACCGGAAGGUGUACUUGGAAAACUC
RNAcentral lists this non-coding RNA (947 nucleotides) under Acentrogobius pflaumii (striped sandgoby). RNAcentral describes it as "12S ribosomal RNA". It matches the Rfam family "Bacterial small subunit ribosomal RNA". Lineage: Eukaryota; Metazoa; Chordata; Actinopteri; Gobiiformes; Gobiidae. The record is from RNAcentral.